GACGAACGCUGGCGGCGUGCUUAACACAUGCAAGUCGAACGGAAAGGCCCUGCUUUUGUGGGGUGCUCGAGUGGCGAACGGGUGAGUAACACGUGAGUAACCUGCCCUUGACUUUGGGAUAACUUCAGGAAACUGGGGCUAAUACCGGAUAGGAGCUCCUGCUGCAUGGUGGGGGUUGGAAAGUUUCGGCGGUUGGGGAUGGACUCGCGGCUUAUCGGCUUGUUGGUGGGGUAGUGGCUUACCAAGGCUUUGACGGGUAGCCGGCCUGAGAGGGUGACCGGCCACAGUGGGAAUGAGAGAGGGCCCAGACGCCUACGGGAGGCAGCAGUGGGGAAUAUUGCACAAUGGGCGGAAGCCUGAUGCAGCAACGCCGCGUGCGGGAUGACGGCCUUCGGGUUGUAAACCGCUUUCGCCUGUGACGAAGCGUGAGUGACGGUAAUGGGUAAAGAAGCACCGGCUAACUACGUG
This 468-nucleotide ribosomal RNA is filed under the name uncultured bacterium. RNAcentral's name for it is "partial 16S ribosomal RNA". It matches the Rfam family "Bacterial small subunit ribosomal RNA", at positions 28 to 507 of the family's 1533-position model. The record is from RNAcentral.